GUGCCAGCCGCCGCGGUAAUACGGAGGGUGCAAGCGUUAUCCGGAUUCACUGGGUUUAAAGGGUGCGUAGGUGGAGUGGUAAGUCAGUGGUGAAAUCUCCAAGCUUAACUUGGAAACUGCCGUUGAUACUAUCAUUCUUGAAUAUCGUGGAGGUAAGCGGAAUAUGUCAUGUAGCGGUGAAAUGCUUAGAUAUGACAUAGAACACCGAUUGCGAAGGCAGCUUGCUACACGAUCAUUGACACUGAGGCACGAAAGCGUGGGGAUCAAACAGGAUUAGAAACCCCGGUAGUCC
Molecule: ribosomal RNA, 292 nt
Filed under: uncultured bacterium
Lineage: Bacteria
Description: partial 16S ribosomal RNA
Rfam family: Bacterial small subunit ribosomal RNA
Source: RNAcentral